Molecule: transfer RNA, 75 nt
Filed under: Deinococcota bacterium
Lineage: Bacteria; Thermotogati; Deinococcota
Also listed under: 5 other names
Description: tRNA-Cys
Rfam family: tRNA
About the family: Transfer RNA (tRNA) molecules are approximately 80 nucleotides in length. Their secondary structure includes four short double-helical elements and three loops (D, anti-codon, and T loops). Further hydrogen bonds mediate the characteristic L-shaped molecular structure. tRNAs have two regions of fundamental functional importance: the anti-codon, which is responsible for specific mRNA codon recognition, and the 3' end, to which the tRNAs corresponding amino acid is attached (by aminoacyl-tRNA synthetases). tRNAs cope with the degeneracy of the genetic code in two manners: having more than one tRNA (with a specific anti-codon) for a particular amino acid; and 'wobble' base-pairing, i.e. permitting non-standard base-pairing at the 3rd anti-codon position.
Source: RNAcentral
GGCGCCGUAGCCAAGUGGUAAGGCAGAGGUCUGCAAAACCUCCAUUCACCGGUUCGAAUCCGGUCGGCGCCUCCA